Molecule: long non-coding RNA, 877 nt
Organism: Sesamum indicum (sesame)
Lineage: Eukaryota; Viridiplantae; Streptophyta; Magnoliopsida; Lamiales; Pedaliaceae
Source: RefSeq, a predicted model, not a curated record
AAUAAAUUAAUAACCACGUGGAUGCAUGCCCACAAUUUAUAAACACAAAAAGCGCUGUUUUAGGCACUAACGACGUAAAAGCUAACACAACAAUAGUCGCUAAACUCACCCCCAAAAUAGCCACCUUUUCAAAUUCCUUCACAAACAUCCAACUGAAAAGAAGAAAAGGGUUGUCGCAAUAGAACAGAUUUGGCCAUUAAAUUAUAAUAUUCCCUCACAAAUCAAUGGCCUAAACGCCUUUGCUUUCUCAGGUCCUCAAUUGAAACCACGCUUUAACCCUCAAAUCAAGUCCUUAAAUCGUGUUUUGCCUUUAUUCCUUCUUGUCGUGAUCAUCAGAGAUCAUUCUUUCCUUGGAUCUCUCUCAUCUCAUGCAUCAAUUCAAACAGAGUACGUAUAUCUCUCUUUUUCUCUCUAUAAAAACAUGCAAAUCAGUCAUAAUUGAGAUCAAGACAUACAAAGAAAACACAAAGAAAAAAGUGUUGGGAGGUGAGGAAAAAUGGCUGUGAGUAGUGUUUACAUUACAGCACCAGCUGCUGCUGCUGUGGGGCUCUAUUUGUUUGCCAGAAACCUCCCAAGAAACCUGGCAGGUGGGCGAGAGGUGAAGAACAAUGUGAAGGAUCAGCCAAAGCUGGCUCCAGAGUUUGAUGGUCUGUACUGCUUUGAAACCAUUGUAAGAGACGAGAAGAGGUGUUAAUUCAUAGUGCUAUUUCGCCCUUUCCUUUUUCUCAUUUUGAGAAGAAGAUGAAUGAGAGGUCAAAUUUUGUUCUUGUGUUGGAAGGGUCCUUUUUUAUACCCUUAUUUGGUGUGUUAGAGUUCUUCAAAUACUUGAAGGAAUAUGUGUAUGUAAAUACCUAAUUUACACUUACUUUUCUUGAUA